Molecule: RNase P RNA, 384 nt
Filed under: Holosporales bacterium
Lineage: Bacteria; Pseudomonadati; Pseudomonadota; Alphaproteobacteria; Holosporales
Description: RNase P RNA component class A
Rfam family: Bacterial RNase P class A
About the family: Ribonuclease P (RNase P) is a ubiquitous endoribonuclease, found in archaea, bacteria and eukarya as well as chloroplasts and mitochondria. Its best characterised activity is the generation of mature 5'-ends of tRNAs by cleaving the 5'-leader elements of precursor-tRNAs.
Source: RNAcentral
UGUGGCAAUCGGUUGAUCGCUGUGAGUUGGGGAGCGCAGAGGAAAGUCCGGGCUUCUUGUGGGCAAGGUGCCGGAUAACGUCCGGCGUUGAGGGUUGGAAAGCUCUCAAUAGGGAAAGUGCAACAGAAAGUAUACCGCCUUUCGAGGUAAGGGUGAAAUGGUGAUGGUAAGAGCUCACCGGGUUCCUGGCAACGGGCAUCGCACGGCAAACCCCACCUGAAGCAAGACCAAGUAGGAGUGGUGUGGACUUCAUGUCCGUGAGAGCCUACACUCAUAAUCACUCGGGUAGGUCGCUUGAGCUCAUUGGUGACAAUGAGCCUAGAUGAAUGAUCAAACAGAGGGGCGACCCUCGGACAGAACCCGGCUUAUAGGUUGUCGCACGUG